UGCUCAGGACUUUCGCGGUCUAUUCGGAGGAGGCGGAAAGCCCAAGGAUAAGUACGGUACCGCCCCUCUGACACGGGAGGGGCUAAUCGAAGGAGGCAUCGCUCACAGUCUGACAGGCACGUUGCUGUGUGGCACUCGUAGUCUCAAGAGACCGAAAAUGCAGCAAGCACGCGGCCCUAUAGCUGCCGUCGCUGCCGACAGCAAGGGCACCACCACACGUAGGGGGUCGCCAAUAGCGUCCGCGGACUGCUCUCGGCUCGAGCGCAACCUCACGCAAGCGCUCAAGCUCGCCGAAGCCAUCGCUACCACUCCCUCUACAGACUUUUCGACGCCAGCCGGCAGCCCGGGUGAUGGCAUCGACGGGCUUACUUUGCUCACGUCCCCGAGCAACUCGCCCACAAUCGAUCCGGCACUUACGCUGUCGAAUUUCCCUGGAGGCGAUCAAACGGCAUCGGGAGUGCGCAGCGAGGUCACUGGCAGCCCGAACGACGGGUCCGCGGCGGCGGCGCAGCAGCGCCUGCUGCGUGCGAAGGACAACGAAAUCGCGCACUUGCGCCGCACCGUCCAGGAGCUCAGCAGCCAACUCCACAACGCGCUCACCACACUUGAUCAGCGCGAAGACACGUCGGCUGAGCUGCAGGAGCUGAAGAGGACGUACGACGCGGAGGCGGAGCGGCGCGAGAAAGAGAUGCGACACGCCCGCCUGGAAACGCUAGAAAGCCGGGUCAGAUACCGCACCCAGGAGGAAAAGCUGGCGGAGACCUACACUGCCGACGUGCACGCGAAGGCGAUGGAGCUGCUAGAGCCACACACACAGGAGGUGCACGACAAGAACUUUGAGCUUAUGAAGGAAAAGAUCAUUCUAGCGCAGGAAGUCACAACGAUGCGUGCCAAGUACAAGGAUUUGCAGGAGAAGUAUGCGCUUCUGAAGCACAAGACCGACCUCGACGGUAGCGCCACACGCGAGAUGCUCCAGCGCAGUCUCUUUCAGAAGAAUGAGAUCGCCUCACUUCGGCUGCAGGUGAAGAUCACCGAGGACAACCUCAACGCUGUUGUCGCUGAUUAUGAUAAAAAGCUCCAGGCGGAGAGCAAGAUGCGCGAAGAGGCGAUUCAGUCACUGACGCGUGAGCGCGAUGCAGCGCGGCGAGACGCAUUGCAGCUCCAGCGCGAGCUGGCGCAGCUGCGAAGCGCAGCUGGAAACGUUCUAGCGCAGCGCUCCGAGCUUGAAUCGUUCUUUUAUGCGGCUUUGGAAGAGGUUCGUCAAGGCGUCGUCGCGGAGCGUCGGCAGUUGCUGCUGGAGAAUACGCCGAAGGGGGAUGUUGUCAACGCAAAGCAGGCGUCGCCGGUGCACACCAUGUCGUCUUUGUUGCGACUGGAGGUCCCUAAGCGACUCAUGCUGACGGAUAGCGCAGGGCCUGCGCUGCUGAGGUCAUUGUCUCCUGCGGGCUGGACUGUUGAUCGCAAGGGCUUCCCAAAACGUAUCGGUGCAGCGGCCUCAACGAACACGCGGCGGCUAGCAGGAAUCGCGGUUGCCUCGUCGGCAAGCUCGGCACGCCGCUCGGCGCCCCUAGGCCAUACGGCGCUGUUGAACUUGCAAGCGUUUCCUCACGUUGAGAGCGCCAUGGUCGACGGCGCUCUCGUCACACUGCCGGAUGCAACUCCGUCCUAUCUGCGCAGUAGCGAGCAUGAGGUGCCCUCUCUCUUGGUGAGAGCGACCGAUCGCUGCGCGGCGUUAGCCGCUCCGGCGGUUCAAAGCGGGUGGCACAGCACCCCCUGUGAAGACGGCGCCCCGUUUCGACUUGGCCCUGCGACUGUGGAAGAUGGCUAUGAUGCUCCCUUUCCGGCUCCAGCGAAGCAGUGCGGUGCCCUAGACGCGGCCGAGACGGAGGACUUCUCUCCUCUGCGAAGCCUGCCCAGCGCCCCAACCUGGCAAGACGUCAAGAGUGUCGACGUGAGUGAGCUGCGCUGGGUGGACAAAGAGCGCGUUAUUCAGCUGCUUUUUAAACGUAUCCGACAAGAGGGUCGGCAACAUGCAAGGAUGUUACAACACGCGAGCCUGAAAAGCGAUCCAUUAGCGGCGAAGGUUGACGCCGUCGCACCCGUAGACGCGCUGCCUUCCGACGCAACAGAAUUGGGUCACAACUCGCUCACGUUUCUGACGCAGCAGUAGAAGCAUGCGACUCUGCUGUAUUGGUUGGUCUCCACCUCCUCUCUCUCUCUCCGUACCGGUUUGCUGUCCAUCACCUGUGAAG
This 2252-nucleotide unclassified non-coding RNA is filed under the name Leishmania donovani. RNAcentral describes it as "gene:LdHU3.36.8320(CDS-product:hypothetical_prote in_conserved)". Lineage: Eukaryota; Euglenozoa; Kinetoplastea; Trypanosomatida; Trypanosomatidae. The record is from RNAcentral.